This 322-nucleotide ribosomal RNA is filed under the name uncultured eukaryote. Its description in RNAcentral is "partial 18S ribosomal RNA". It matches the Rfam family "Eukaryotic small subunit ribosomal RNA", at positions 1470 to 1796 of the family's 1831-position model. The record is from RNAcentral.
CCCCUAGAUGUUCUGGGCCGCACGCGCGCUACACUGAACAGUUCAACAAGUCUUAACCUUGGCCGAUAGGUCUGGGUAAUCUUUGAACGCUGUUCGUGAUUGGGAUAGACCUUUGCAAUUAUGGGUCUUCAACGAGGAAUUCCUAGUAAACGCAAGUCAUCAGCUUGCAUUGAUUACGUCCCUGCCCUUUGUACACACCGCCCGUCGCUCCUACCGAUUGAAUGGUCCGGUGAAAUCUUCGGAUUGCUGGAUAGGACUUCAUUGACCUAUCUGCGAGAAGUUGCUUGAACCUUAUCAUUUAGAGGAAGGAGAAGUCGUAACA